GCUGACUUCUGUUUUUUCCCCAAACGUGUCAGACUCAAAUUACAAUAGCAUCGAGAACCGAGAAAAGUGAUUUUCACAUUGCAUCCAUAUAAAGAGAAACUAGAGAAAACAAAACCAAGUGUUUCAACUGCAGAUUUCAAAGUGAUGCAGCUUAGAAAUUAUAAAAUUUGUAUUCCUCACAUAAAUGACCAACUCCAACCUUGCCCAAAACCGGGUUGUAACAUACUAGUCCUUCCUUUGCCAAAUAUUUUGCCUCCAAUUAAUAAGGUGGGUUGCCAAGAUGCACCAGGAUACUUUGCAGAAUUGGCACCAACAAUUUUGUCUGACCAAUAGACAACUUGUUUAUGAGACUCCAGAAGUAUGCUUACCCAGAACAAACAUGAGUGAAGAACAAGGUAAAAGCAUCAAGGAUAUUCCUGCAACACCAUGAGGGGCCAGCUCUAGUCAUAUAUGACUGCCCACGACCAGGACAGCAAGGCUUCAAAAAAGUCUGGUGAGCAAGAGAGGAAGAGACUGAUACUUGAAGAGCUGGGAGGCCAUGUUGGCACCACAGGCAAUAAUUGCUGCAAGACUCAUUGACGCCAAAACUAUAAAGGCUCAUUUUAUUCCUUCACAUAUUCAAGGCUUUUUGCUGCAAGUUUCUGGCUCAAGUGUUGGUGUAUAGUUUGUGGGAAACUUCACUACAGACACAAAGGGUUGGGUUCACCUAUAGUUCCAUGCAGGUUGACUUGGGUGCCCAACACUCCCUGGAGAAGGGCUUUUCCCUUCUUGUUACCAGCCUGCCCUUUCCCACUCCCAAACCUAGAAGAUUAUGUUAUGCCCUGAAUUUGCUAAGAGAAAUGAAGAUGAAAGGGAAGGAAAAGCAA
This 866-nucleotide long non-coding RNA is filed under the name Homo sapiens (human). RNAcentral's name for it is "non-protein coding lnc-CCNI-6:1". Lineage: Eukaryota; Metazoa; Chordata; Mammalia; Primates; Hominidae. The record is from RNAcentral.